Molecule: long non-coding RNA, 275 nt
Organism: Oreochromis aureus
Lineage: Eukaryota; Metazoa; Chordata; Actinopteri; Cichliformes; Cichlidae
Source: Ensembl
GUUCAAUUUAAUAUUAACUAAACUGGAAUGCUUUUACAUAUCAUUUGUUUUAGGCUAUAAUUUUGCUCAUUCAGGUGCAUUGCAUUCAUUCUGUUUUAGAUUGUGGAGAGGUGGGAGCCACCUCAGAGCAGCUUCCACCUUGAGUGAGGAAGUGGAACAGAUUGCUAUCACUUUUUUCAUUUUGCAAAUAAGAGCAGGAGACAUUGUGAUGAUGAACUUGAGGCUGAAGAACUCUAGAAAAAAAUUGUAGCCAGUUUUCGUAUGGUAUGCAAAAC